UACGGAGGGUGCAAGCAUUGAUCGGAAUUACUGGGCGUAAAGGGCGCGUAGGCGGUUAUAUAAGUCAGAUGUGAAAUUCCGGGGCUCAACCUCGGAGCAGCAUUUGAAACUGUAAGACUAGAGGAUAGUUAGGGAAAACGGAAUUCCACGUGUAGCGGUGAAAUGCGUAGAUAUGUGGAAGAACACCAGUGGUGAAGACGGUUUUCUGGGCUAUAACUGACGCUGAGGCGCGAAAGCUAGGGGAGCAAAC
RNAcentral lists this ribosomal RNA (250 nucleotides) under uncultured bacterium. Its description in RNAcentral is "partial 16S ribosomal RNA". It matches the Rfam family "Bacterial small subunit ribosomal RNA", at positions 524 to 773 of the family's 1533-position model. The record is from RNAcentral.